ACAUCGGUGGUUCAGUUGGUAGAAUGCACGCGGGCGGCCCGGGUUCGAUUCCCGGCCGAUGCA
RNAcentral lists this transfer RNA (63 nucleotides) under Cordylochernes scorpioides. RNAcentral's name for it is "tRNA-OTHER". It matches the Rfam family "tRNA". Rfam says of the family: Transfer RNA (tRNA) molecules are approximately 80 nucleotides in length. Their secondary structure includes four short double-helical elements and three loops (D, anti-codon, and T loops). Further hydrogen bonds mediate the characteristic L-shaped molecular structure. tRNAs have two regions of fundamental functional importance: the anti-codon, which is responsible for specific mRNA codon recognition, and the 3' end, to which the tRNAs corresponding amino acid is attached (by aminoacyl-tRNA synthetases). tRNAs cope with the degeneracy of the genetic code in two manners: having more than one tRNA (with a specific anti-codon) for a particular amino acid; and 'wobble' base-pairing, i.e. permitting non-standard base-pairing at the 3rd anti-codon position. The record is from RNAcentral. Lineage: Eukaryota; Metazoa; Arthropoda; Arachnida; Pseudoscorpiones; Chernetidae.